GUUAAGGUGGCAGAGUGAGUGCAUAGGAUUUAAGAUCCUAAUAGGAAUUAUAUAUAAUUUUCUUAAUA
This 68-nucleotide transfer RNA is filed under the name Liocranchia reinhardtii. RNAcentral's name for it is "tRNA-Leu". Lineage: Eukaryota; Metazoa; Mollusca; Cephalopoda; Oegopsida; Cranchiidae. The record is from RNAcentral.